RNAcentral lists this ribosomal RNA (524 nucleotides) under bacterium enrichment culture. Its description in RNAcentral is "bacterial SSU rRNA". It matches the Rfam family "Bacterial small subunit ribosomal RNA", at positions 350 to 865 of the family's 1533-position model. The record is from RNAcentral.
AGCAGUGGGGAAUUUUGGACAAUGGGCGGAAGCCUGAUCCAGCCAUGCCGCGUGAGUGAAGAAGGCCUUCGGGUUGUAAAGCUCUUUCGGCGGGGAAGAAAUUGCUUGGGUUAAUACCCUGAGUAGAUGACGGUACCCGAAUAAGAAGCACCGGCUAACUACGUGCCAGCAGCCGCGGUAAUACGUAGGGUGCGAGCGUUAAUCGGAAUUACUGGGCGUAAAGCGUGCGCAGGCGGUUUUGUAAGUCAGAUGUGAAAUCCCCGGGCUCAACCUGGGAACUGCAUUUGAGACUGCAAGACUGGAGUUUGGCAGAGGGGGGUGGAAUUCCACGUGUAGCAGUGAAAUGCGUAGAGAUGUGGAGGAACACCGAUGGCGAAGGCAGCCCCCUGGGCCAAUACUGACGCUCAUGCACGAAAGCGUGGGGAGCAAACAGGAUUAGAUACCCUGGUAGUCCACGCCCUAAACGAUGUCAACUAGGUGUUGGGAGGGUUAAACCUUUUAGUGCCGUAGCUAACGCGUGAAGU